AAAGAAGAGAGAAGUGGUGAAGAGAGGAAGAAGAAGAAAGAAGACG
This 46-nucleotide small RNA is filed under the name Arabidopsis thaliana (thale cress). RNAcentral describes it as "ATSL104130". Lineage: Eukaryota; Viridiplantae; Streptophyta; Magnoliopsida; Brassicales; Brassicaceae. The record is from RNAcentral.